Oreochromis niloticus (Nile tilapia) is the source of this 3498-nucleotide long non-coding RNA. RefSeq lists it as uncharacterized. The transcript has 6 exons. The record is from RefSeq and is a predicted model, not a curated record. NCBI's taxonomy places the organism in Eukaryota, Metazoa, Chordata, Actinopteri, Cichliformes, Cichlidae.
UUGACUCACUUUUGGAACGAGCCUCAAGUGGCCAUUAAAGGAACUGCAGUCAGGCGCUACACGUGGGCUUUGUUUUUCAUCCCUGGAGGUUUCCGCUCGCCUCAAACCUGGUCUGCAAAUGUUUUUCUGCUGUUCUGAACAGAUGUUAAACUUGAACAUGUUUCAUGUUAUUCUGGAAUAACAGAAAAUGUCUGAUUCGUCUUCACAGUCAGGUCUUUUAACAUUUUCUAGCAACCUGCAGCCUCUGAACGCUUCGUGACUCAACCCGUGUCAACAGCAAGUUAAGUGCUUUGUACUCGUCUAAGUCUCUGCGCAUUUUAUGAAAGAAAGCCAUCCAUGGAUAAACAUUCCCACUUCUGUUCGCUGUAGGCCUGCAACGUUGAUGAAAACCAGUGUUUUUCUGAGUUCAGGUGCAGAAAGGUCUUUAAAACAAAGACAAGAUGUUAAAUUAGGAUUCUGGUGAAACCAGGGCGUUAGUGCAAUGACAGGAAUGAGUCAAACAUCCUGUUUAUUGCUUUUCAUUUAUGUUUUUUCCAUUAAAUUUCAGUAUGAGUGCAGCAGCAGUGCGCAUGGCCAGCAUUAGUCAUGACUGCCCUGAGAGUUUUAAUAAUUAUGAUGCUAAUCGUGUCCCAAAUGACACCUCGGUGAUCCGCCCACCUCGUGUUUUCACUUCUGCCGACAUGGAAGUUCUAAUUACUCACUCGACUGGCAAAUCUCUCUCAUAGCCCGGUGUGGGCUUAUCUUUCUGCUGCGCCGUCUCGUGAUUUGAAUCAGAGUAACGUUUGUGCCACCUCACAAAUUUUGGGUGCACUUUGCUCUGCGGCAGCAGUGUGGGUUCAAGUAAAAGGUCAGAAUUCGCGUUCUUACUUUCAGAUCACUUUCAGGCUUCAGUUCUUGAGAUUCAAACUGAAAGAUGUUGAUAACAGCGCAGUUUUUUCAAUACAAUGCCAAAGCGAAGGCUGAAUAUUUCUUUGUCCAGUGCAAAGUUAGAAAAUAUUAUUAUUUGAGUCCCUUAAAUUGCUUUUUUCCUAUAAAACCAUAAAUAUUGGGUUUACCGUAAUCGAGGCUAAAAAAAACUCAACAAGACCUGACACUAAAGACGCAAAGACUAGUGCGUUCUGACUUUAAAAAAAGGACUUAAAUUACUAAAAGAUGAUCAAAAUAAUCAAUAUUAAAAGUAGCCCCUAGUUUGACAGUUUCCAAUUUGAUGGAGAAAGGUGUAUGAAAAAGCAUCCAGACAAGAAAAAUGUAGUUUUAUUGCUAUUUUUUAAAUUGAGUGUAAGACAAAAUAUAAAUAUGAAGUAGAUCUAAUAACCAGGUAUAUUAAAGUGAUGUGAAAUGUUUAGUGUUUCCACUUUUCUGGGCUUUAACCCAAAGGUUUUCCACCAUGACUCACAUUUUGACUCUAAUAAAGCCUCUUUAUGUUUAAGUAUACAGUCACUAAAAGAAACAUAUAGCCUAAAGAGCUGUUUUCUCUCACCUGUUUGUGUAGCGACCACUUUCCAACCAUUAAAAACUGCCUGCCAGUGUUUCACUCCUGGUUUCUUUAGUAAAACUCUGGCUCCCCCUGCUGUCUGAAGUCAGAACUGCAGCUUUGAUUUUCCAGAAAACGUUCCUGGUUUGCUGAAUUCCCAGCAGAACUGGACGGGAUGAAGCUUGGAGAGAAAACACCACAGUCACCUCAGUUGUGAUGCUCCUCUGCUGCAGUGCUCAGCUGUGUCACCCAUCAGUUACUGCAGCACCACAGCUCUGUCAGCAGUCCCUCUCCCCUGCAGUGUUUGGAAGUGCUCUUCGGCUGCUGCUCCCAUCGGGGGGACGGGCAGUACUGAAAGGAGGCAGACUGACAGGCUGUUUGGCCUCCAGCAGAGAGCGAUUGUAGUCUGAGGUCAGAGGUCACAGUCCAGGGAGCCGAGACAGAAACCAGAUCACAACAGAAGGCUAAUUAUCAUGCACUGUAGCUGGCCUCCUGCUGGGACUGCAUUCGCUUUCACCAGCAGGCCGCAGUGAAGCUUCUGGACCUCCUACAUUUAAAACUGGAGCUGUGAAGAGGCGCUGCUGAAUCAUGUCAGAUGGCGACACCUUUGCCUCUUUUGAGGCACGUGCAAUAACAGCAUUUAUUAGCUCUUUAAGGAGCAGCUGUUCUUCUGACACGUGAGGUUCCUCGAGAUCAACUGACUCUGGAUCCCCCGGACUCUGUUGCUGGUUGCACUAUUGAGGGCAACACACACAGUGCUUCAUUUUCCCCUCGUCUCUCUGUAAAAUGUUUACCCCAGGCACGACACUACCUUCAGAGUCUUAAAUCUUUGCUUCGCCUUCAGUGGUGCAGAUUUGAAUCGGCUCUGUUGUUUCACAAGUUUCAAUGGCAGAAUUCAUAUUUCCAAAUGAUAUAUAACUUUUUUACAAUCUGAACUUGGUUCUGUAUUUUGUGUCAAUUGUUGAGUUUGUGUCUUAGCUAUGUGGAUGUCAAACAUUUAUGAGAGAGAAAGAAGCUUGUGAUGAAAUAUUCACUUUCCAAUACAGUGGUGGCAUGCUCCUUGAAAACCUUUACAAUUAUAUCAUCUGCAUAUUCAUGGUCUAAUUCCAUGAAUGUCAGUAUGACGUCUGGCUCUUUCCAUUUCUGUAUCAAAGAGCUGUAAACCAUAUCACUGAGGAAUAUCAGAUUAUCAAUUUUGAUUUUUUUAAGUCUAGGCCAGAUUUUUAUCAACAGCCGUUGGGUGAUGGCAUCAACUUUUUCAAUACAGGAAGGUGAACUGGCAUUUUCAAUGAUAAUAAUUUUUAAAUGUUUAUGUAGCUUCACUCAUUCACCUGCAGACACAGACGGCUAUCAGAAUGGUCACACGUCUUCUUAGAGGACGUUACAGGUGAACACGCGCGGUGAGUUACAGCCAGUGAGGAGUCACGCAGUUUUUGUGUGCAUGUCUGUGCUCGUGGACAUUUGUGAGCAGAAACACUUGUUAUUAAAUUAUGCACUUAUAUUCAGAGUUAGAAAUGAAAUCUUUGUAUUAGAGGGAAGGAGUAUAACAAACUAUAAAUUAAGCUAAUUUGCACGUUUUAUUCUGCUUUUCUAAUCAAAAAAUGAUAAUGCAAGAAAAAUAUCCAAAUAUUAACAGAAAAAAGUGAAACCAAACUCUUACUCUCACCACCCCUCUCUAAAAUCAAUAUAUAAUAUCAUAUAUAAACACUUGUGCUAACAAUUCAAGAAACAUUUGGAAUAUUUUAUAUUCCUCCCCUCUUUUUCCUUUUUUCCAGAUCCUACACAUGUGACACACGGGCAGCAUGGUGGCACGGUUAGCACUGUUACCUCACAGCACGAAGGUCCUGAGUUCAAUUCCACUAUCAGGCCAGGGUCUUUCUGUCUGGAGUUUGCAUGUUCUCCCCAGUUUCCUCCCACGGUCCAAAAGGCAUGCAGUUAGUGGGGAUAGGUUAAUUGAAAAAUCUGAAUUGCCCAUUGUUUUUAGAAAAAUCUAAAUUGCCCAUAGGUGUGAGUGAAUGUGAGUA